Molecule: ribosomal RNA, 368 nt
Filed under: uncultured bacterium
Lineage: Bacteria
Description: bacterial SSU rRNA
Rfam family: Bacterial small subunit ribosomal RNA
Source: RNAcentral
UGAACGCUGGCGGUAGGCCUAACACAUGCAAGUCGAACGGCAGCACAGUAAGAGCUUGCUCUUAUGGGUGGCGAGUGGCGGACGGGUGAGGAAUACAUCGGAAUCUACUCUGUCGUGGGGGAUAACGUAGGGAAACUUACGCUAAUACCGCAUACGACCUACGGGUGAAAGCAGGGGAUCUUCGGACCUUGCGCGAUUGAAUGAGCCGAUGUCGGAUUAGCUAGUUGGCGGGGUAAAGGCCCACCAAGGCGACGAUCCGUAGCUGGUCUGAGAGGAUGACCAGCCACACUGGAACUGAGACACGGUCCAGACUCCUACGGGAGGCAGCAGUGGGGAAUAUUGGACAAUGGGCGCAAGCCUGAUCCAGC